ACCAUUCAUCCAAAAAAUUUAAGCAACAAACAGAUCUUCUCACCAACUGCACUUAUCAUAGUUGGCUAAGAACUUUGAUGAUUAAUAUUCAAAGUUCACCGACUGUCCCGAGUGCAAGUGACAAAGGGCUUGGUGGUUGAUACCCGAGUACCCAAGUUCGAAUCAUAGUUGAUUCACAUUUCUAGCUAAGUUUAUUUUUAAAUGAAAUAAACGAAACGGAUAGUAUGCUACCUAUUUCUAAAAAAAAUAUAUAUAUAUUCGAAGUUCUGAAUUCGAUCUCUAGUAGCUUCAUAUUUUUAGUUAAAUUUAUUUAUAAAAAAUAAAUAAAAUGUAUAGCAUAUUAUUUUUUUCCGCAUCAUUAUCAAUAGCAUCAAGCACAUGGUGUAGAAAUAUUAUUUGCCUAGUGAUCGAAGGGGCUCAAAAUCAAUAAUUUUAAUGGCCGUAGUGAGCCAUUUGCAAGUUUAACGGUGCAGAAAUAUUCAAAUCAUGUGAAAUUUUGAUAGAAAAUUCUUUAUAUUAAAUAAAACAAGAUCAAUUUUUUUGAUCUAAAAUUUUAAUGUCAUAUUAUCACAUUUUGUAAGAUUUUUAUUUUCAGCCGUUGAUUUUGAGCCCCUUCAUUUACUAGGCAAAUAAUAUCGAAAAAUCGCAUAAUUUAUUUUCUAGGUACUUCAAAUACUCUAGAUCAAGUUUUACUGAGCCGAUCGACGAUUCGAAAGUCGCAAUAUGAAAAACGUCCUGGAAGCACGGAAGGCUCCAUGCUUCCAGAAGCAUAGUAGCCUCACUCAUAUAUAUGUGUGUGUGUGUGUGUGUGUGUAUAUAUAUAUAUAUAGAGUCCGGCUACUUUACUAUUAUGAGUACGAUCGCCCUUUACUCAUAAGU
This 879-nucleotide long non-coding RNA is filed under the name Ananas comosus (pineapple). RNAcentral's name for it is "long non-coding RNA (ACOM_LNC025035)". The record is from RNAcentral. Lineage: Eukaryota; Viridiplantae; Streptophyta; Magnoliopsida; Poales; Bromeliaceae.